CCUAGGAUCCUACAACCAUACUGGGAGAGUCAUGUCGCGAUUGGCGCUCCAAAGUGGCAAGGUCCAGAAGAACAAGAUAGUAGAUGGUUUGAGCCAGUGAAAUGGAAGAACUUCUCACAUGUGAGUACUGCACCAAUUGAGAGUCAUGAAACUUUCAUAGGCGAUCUUUCUGGUGUAUACAUAGUCACGGGAGCUCAGCUUGGGGUCUGGAAUUUUGGGUCGAGAAACGUUUUAUGAAACUUUCAUAGGCGAUCUGUCUGGUGUGUACAUAGUCACGGGAGCUCAGCUCGGGGUCUGGAAUUUUGGGUCAAGAAACGUUUUGUAUAUGAGGCUGUUGUAUUCAAGGUUACCGGGCUGCACUAUUAGGAGAUCAUUGUG
Molecule: long non-coding RNA, 378 nt
Filed under: Nicotiana benthamiana
Lineage: Eukaryota; Viridiplantae; Streptophyta; Magnoliopsida; Solanales; Solanaceae
Description: long non-coding RNA (NBEN_LNC024016)
Source: RNAcentral